UAUUAAGACGUUGUGUUUGUAGCUGUCAUGAGUUUUCAAAUCGCAUAUUGUGGAAGUGAUCGUUUCGAAAUUGACGAGCAGAGAGAAUACGAUGAAAAUAAGGACAAAAAUAUUCAGACUAGAUUACAAAACAAUUCAAAGGACGCAGAAAUCAGUGAAGACGCAAAGAGUUUUGCCACUGGGGUUACAUCGAAAUGGCUAAACUUUUCAUUUCAGCUACAUGAUUUCGUGAAUACUAACUACAAUCGUUAUAUAGAAGAUUUUACUCAUGAUGAAGUUGAAAAUAAAAUUAAGUGUAGAAGAAAUUGCGCUUUCGUUGUAAAACAAGUUGCAAAUGAAAAUAAAUCUUCCUUAUUACUGAUUGAUUCUGGACACACAAAAACGGAUUCCAAGAAGACGGAAACAGACACUGUCGCUAUGAAUGAAAGACGGACAGAAACCGAUGAUGCAUUAAUCAAUCCUCCUGUGAAAAUCUCUGGAUUUCUGUCGUCUGCAGUAAAAACGUGGACAUCAGAUGACAAUCUUGUCAAUGACAAAAAUGUUAAUACAGUAGAGCAGGUACAACCAGAAGGGUGCUUUUGUUGGCCUCUUGUUCAUCUGAUUUACAGGAUACGGUACCGAUGGUUUGACAAGAAAAAGGACGAAAAAUUUCAGAAAAGACAAAAAUCUAACAAUGUGGAGUACUGUUUACGUAAGGUCUAGAAAUAAAGUGAAAAACUAAGAUAUUAAAAGCAGAAAACAGGAAAUUUGCUUUGCAUGGAAUCGUAAUUAAUAAAUUUAACUGAAAACAUCUCACAGUUCUCCUUAUUAAGAAAUCAUCGCUGAAGACGAGCAUCACAAAUAACA
Long non-coding RNA from Mytilus californianus (California mussel), 846 nucleotides. RefSeq lists it as uncharacterized. The record is from RefSeq and is a predicted model, not a curated record. Lineage: Eukaryota; Metazoa; Mollusca; Bivalvia; Mytilida; Mytilidae. The transcript has 3 exons.